This 1705-nucleotide long non-coding RNA is filed under the name Salmo salar (Atlantic salmon). Its description in RNAcentral is "lncRNA (ENSSSAG00000103720.1)". The record is from RNAcentral. Lineage: Eukaryota; Metazoa; Chordata; Actinopteri; Salmoniformes; Salmonidae.
AUUUAUUGUCUCCAGUACUUGCCACAUUUAGACCACUAGGAGGUGAUGUUGACUGAAUCGGGGAAGAAGCUGCUCCCUGUUGCCCACGGUUACGGAUGAGCCCCAGAGGGAAGCAGAGGACGCUGGGAUGCCCGAUGCCCCAAGUGGGAGGAGCUCUGCUCUGGAGGCGGUCCGCUCCUCUUUAUGCCCCGCCCAUCGCUCUCUGCUCCAGCGAAUCCUGAGGCUCGCCCACCAGCAGCACCGUCUAUCGUUGGCCUACAGGGACGCACAUCGCCGUCUCGUCCCGCCCCCAGACCCUCUCUGCGGCCACCUGGUGGCCAAACAACAGGACGACACUUCCUCUCCUCCUCCUCCUCCUUCUUUUACUGACUGUUGGAGCCGUAGUGCCACCGGAGCCACUCGUCAGCAGACUGACUGGAAGACACCAGGCGGUCCAGGCUGUUGCUGUGUGCAGCGCUGCAGGCUGCCUCCUGUCUGUUUCUGUCUUCAGAGCCUCCACUGCCUGUCCUGCCAGAGCCUAUCCCUGGGACACAUUACCACUGGGGUUCGCUCUUCCUCUUCUCUCUGCACUUUCACCUCCUCCCCUUCUCUUUCAUCCUCCGCUCUGUACCCUAACCCCUCGGUCUGUCCCGUGGCCUCUGUCUGUUGCUCCCACCCCCAGCCCUGCUCCAACCCCUCACCCUCACCCCCAGCCCUGCUCCAACCCCCACCCUCACCCCCAGCCCUGCGCCUCCUGCUGCUCAGAACACACCUACCUGGCCCCGGUCAGACGCACAGCCCAGGGAGGAGGAGGAAGAGCGGGAGGAGGAAGCGAGUGCCCUGUCCUCAAGAGAGAGCCAUCCCGCACCCCCUCUCCUCCCCCUCUCUCCCCCAUCCCCUCAGACAUGGACGGAAAGGAGGAAGACAAGCCUCCCUCUCUUCUGCUGCAGCAGCAGCAGCAGCAGGAGGGGGAAAAAGAGGAGGAGGCUGGGUGUGGUGGGGAGGUGGGCGAGGACAGGGAGCAGCAGGACCUGGUGGAGCGAUUCAGUGACAAACUAAAAACAAUCAGACCCCAGGAGAAGGAUCCCCACCUGACGACCUCGGCCAAUCGGCACGUGGCAGAGUCCCGGGCCGACGCCCACCUGAGUGAGAUCAUCACCACCGUUCUGAACACGGGCGGCGGCGGCGGCGACUACAGCCUAAACGACAUGUUGCAUCACCACGACAACGACGAGAGCCGGCCACCUCGGACACGUUCCCGGCGGCGACAGGAGGCCCUGGCUGCCAUGACGACUUUGCCCGACCAGUCGUCCACCCGGCGCCAGACCGUGCUAAUCAAACGGGAGCUGGCCAGGCUGAACCAAUCGCUGGGCAGGAGGCUGUCGCUAGGGAAGAACAAGAGCCGCAGUGCCAAGCCCUUUUCUACCUGCUCCUCACCUGAACCAACCCCUGUUACAGCCGAGAUGGACAGAAUCACAGAGGAGGGGGGAGAGACGGGUAGAGUGGAGGAGGGAGGGACGGAGAGGGUGAAGGAGGGAGAGACGGAGAGGGUGAAGGAGGGAGGGACGGAGAGGGUGAAGGAGGGAGAGACGGAGAGGGUGAAGGAGGGAGAGACGGAGAGGGUGAAGGAGGGAGGGACGGAGAGGGUGAAGGAGGGAGAGACGGAGAGGGUGAAGGAGGGAGGGACGGAGAGGGUGAAGGAGGGAGAGACGGAGAGGGUGAAGGA